Molecule: non-coding RNA, 21 nt
Filed under: Arabidopsis thaliana (thale cress)
Lineage: Eukaryota; Viridiplantae; Streptophyta; Magnoliopsida; Brassicales; Brassicaceae
Source: RNAcentral
UUAACGUCGAUGAUGCCCUUA